This 370-nucleotide unclassified non-coding RNA is filed under the name uncultured fungus. RNAcentral's name for it is "partial contains 5.8S ribosomal RNA and internal transcribed spacer 2". The stretch from base 1 to 133 matches the Rfam family "5.8S ribosomal RNA", at positions 22 to 154 of the family's 154-position model. Lineage: Eukaryota; Fungi. The record is from RNAcentral.
UGGCUCUCCCAUCGAUGAAGAACGCAGCGAAAUGCGAUAAGUAAUGUGAAUUGCAGAAUUCAGUGAAUCAUCGAAUCUUUGAACGCACCUUGCGCCCUUUGGUAUUCCGAAGGGCAUGCCUGUUUGAGUGUCAUUAAAUUCUCAACCUUGCUUGUUUUGUGAGGCUUGGAUGUGUGAGGGCUUGCUGGCUUCCUUCAGUGGAUGGUCUGCUCCCUUUAAAUUCAUUAGUGGGAUCUUUUGUGGACCGUCACUUGGUGUGAUAAUUAUCUACGCCGCCUGACUGAAGCAAGACUUGUGGGAACCCGCUUAUAACUGUCAUUUGUGACUUUUCUGACAACUUGACCUCAAAUCAGGUAGGACUACCCGCUGA